GGGGGGCUGCAGUUUGCUUCUAAAGGCUGAAACUAGUGACGCUCUAAGCACAGGCAGGGGUUAAUGGGGCACUGCUGGCAGAGCUGAGUGCAGCAGCUAGAGGAGCUCAGAGGCCAGGUGGAGCAGGCAGGUGUGGUUCCCUUCUGCUUGGCCCUGACCUGCAUCUCCUCCCUACAGGCUAAAGGACCUGCUUCUGUUCU
Molecule: long non-coding RNA, 200 nt
Filed under: Pavo cristatus (Indian peafowl)
Lineage: Eukaryota; Metazoa; Chordata; Aves; Galliformes; Phasianidae
Description: lncRNA (ENSPSTG00000006489.1)
Source: RNAcentral